GAUAAUCAUGGAGUAUAAAAAUUAAAUUUAAUAAAUUUAAUAUAACUAUUAAUAGAAUUAGGUUACUAAUAAAUUAAUAACAAUUAAUUUUAAAACCUAAAGGUAAACCUUUAUAUUAAUAAUGUUUUUUUUUUAUUUUUAUAAUUAAGAAUAAUUAUUAAUAAUAAUAAACUAAGUGAACUGAAACAUCUAAGUAACUUAAGGAUAAGAAAUCAACAGAGAUAUUAUGAGUAUUGGUGAGAGAAAAUAAUAAAGGUCUAAUAAGUAUUAUGUGAAAAAAAUGUAAGAAAAUAGGAUAACAAAUUCUAAGACUAAAUACUAUUAAUAAGUAUAGUAAGUACCGUAAGGGAAAGUAUGAAAAUGAUUAUUUUAUAAGCAAUCAUGAAUAUAUUAUAUUAUAUUAAUGAUGUACCUUUUGUAUAAUGGGUCAGCAAGUAAUUAAUAUUAGUAAAACAAUAAGUUAUAAAUAAAUAGAAUAAUAUAUAUAUAUAAAAAAAUAUAUUAAAAUAUUUAAUUAAUAUUAAUUGACCCGAAAGCAAACGAUCUAACUAUGAUAAGAUGGAUAAACGAUCGAACAGGUUGAUGUUGCAAUAUCAUCUGAUUAAUUGUGGUUAGUAGUGAAAGACAAAUCUGGUUUGCAGAUAGCUGGUUUUCUAUGAAAUAUAUGUAAGUAUAGCCUUUAUAAAUAAUAAUUAUUAUAUAAUAUUAUAUAAAUAUUAUAUAAAGAAUGGUACAGCAAUUAAUAUAUAUUAGGGAACUAUUAAAGUUUUAUUAAUAAUAUUAAAUCUCGAAAUAUUUAAUUAUAUAUAAUAAAGAGUCAGAUUAUGUGCGAUAAGGUAAAUAAUCUAAAGGGAAACAGCCCAGAUUAAGAUAUAAAGUUCCUAAUAAAUAAUAAGUGAAAUAAAUAUUAAAAUAUUAUAAUAUAAUCAGUUAAUGGGUUUGACAAUAACCAUUUUUUAAUGAACAUGUAACAAUGCACUGAUUUAUAAUAAAUAAAAAAAAUAAUAUUUAAAAUCAAAUAUAUAUAUAUUUGUUAAUAGAUAAUAUACGGAUCUUAAUAAUAAGAAUUAUUUAAUUCCUAAUAUGGAAUAUUAUAUUUUUAUAAUAAUAAUAAAAAUAUAAAUACUGAAUAUCUAAAUAUUAUUAUUACUUUUUUUUUAAUAAUAAUAAUAUGGUAAUAGAACAUUUAAUGAUAAUAUAUAUUAGUUAUUAAUUAAUAUAUGUAUUAAUUAAAUAGAGAAUGCUGACAUGAGUAACGAAAAAAAGGUAUAAACCUUUUCACCUAAAACAUAAGGUUUAACUAUAAAAGUACGGCCCCUAAUUAAAUUAUAUAAGAAUAUAAAUAUAUUUAAGAUGGGAUAAUCUAUAUUAAUAAAAAUUUAUCUUAAAAUAUAUAUAUUAUUAAUAAUUAUAUUAAUUAAUUAAUAAUAUAUAUAAUUAUAUUAUAUAUUAUAUUUUUAUAUAUAAUAUAUAUAAUAUAAACUAAUAAAGAUCAGGAAAUAAUUAAUGUAUACCGUAAUGUAGACCGACUCAGGUAUGUAAGUAGAGAAUAUGAAGGUGAAUUAGAUAAUUAAAGGGAAGGAACUCGGCAAAGAUAGCUCAUAAGUUAGUCAAUAAAGAGUAAUAAGAACAAAGUUGUACAACUGUUUACUAAAAACACCGCACUUUGCAGAAACGAUAAGUUUAAGUAUAAGGUGUGAACUCUGCUCCAUGCUUAAUAUAUAAAUAAAAUUAUUUAACGAUAAUUUUAUUAAAUUUAGGUAAAUAGCAGCCUUAUUAUGAGGGUUAUAAUGUAGCGAAAUUCCUUGGCCUAUAAUUGAGGUCCCGCAUGAAUGACGUAAUGAUACAACAACUGUCUCCCCUUUAAGCUAAGUGAAAUUGAAAUCGUAGUGAAGAUGCUAUGUACCUUCAGCAAGACGGAAAGACCCUAUGCAGCUUUACUGUAAUUAGAUAGAUCGAAUUAUUGUUUAUUAUAUUCAGCAUAUUAAGUAAUCCUAUUAUUAGGUAAUCGUUUAGAUAUUAAUGAGAUACUUAUUAUAAUAUAAUGAUAAUUCUAAUCUUAUAAAUAAUUAUUAUUAUUAUUAUUAAUAAUAAUAAUAUGCUUUCAAGCAUAGUGAUAAAACAUAUUUAUAUGAUAAUCACUUUACUUAAUAGAUAUAAUUCUUAAGUAAUAUAUAAUAUAUAUUAUAUAUAUAUUAUAUAUAAUAUAAGAGACAAUCUCUAAUUGGUAGUUUUGAUGGGGCGUCAUUAUCAGCAAAAGUAUCUGAAUAAGUCCAUAAAUAAAUAUAUAAAAUUAUUGAAUAAAAAAAUAAUAUAUAUUAUAUAUAUUAAUUAUAAAUUGAAAUAUGUUUAUAUAAAUUUAUAUUUAUUGAAUAUAUUUUAGUAAUAGAUAAAAAUAUGUACAGUAAAAUUGUAAGGAAAACAAUAAUAACUUUCUCCUCUCUCGGUGGGGGUUCACACCUAUUUUUAAUAGGUGUGAACCCCUCUUCGGGGUUCCGGUUCCCUUUCGGGUCCCGGAACUUAAAUAAAAAUGGAAAGAAUUAAAUUAAUAUAAUGGUAUAACUGUGCGAUAAUUGUAACACAAACGAGUGAAACAAGUACGUAAGUAUGGCAUAAUGAACAAAUAACACUGAUUGUAAAGGUUAUUGAUAACGAAUAAAAGUUACGCUAGGGAUAACAGGGUAAUAUAACGAAAGAGUAGAUAUUGUAAGUUAUGUUUGCCACCUCGAUGUCGACUCAACAUUUCCUCUUGGUUGUAAAAGCUAAGAAGGGUUUGACUGUUCGUCAAUUAAAAUGUUACGUGAGUUGGGUUAAAUACGAUGUGAAUCAGUAUGGUUCCUAUCUGCUGAAGGAAAUAUUAUCAAAUUAAAUCUCAUUAUUAGUACGCAAGGACCAUAAUGAAUCAACCCAUGGUGUAUCUAUUGAUAAUAAUAUAAUAUAUUUUAUAAAAAUAAUACUUUAUUAAUAUAUUAUCUAUAUUAGUUUAUAUUUUAAUUAUAUAUUAUCAUAGUAGAUAAGCUAAGUUGAUAAUAAAUAAAUAUUGAAUACAUAUUAAAUAUGAAGUUGUUUUAAUAAGAUAAUUAAUCUGAUAAUUUUAUACUAAAAUUAAUAAUUAUAGGUUUUAUAUAUUAUUUAUAAAUAUAAUAUAAUAAUUAUUAUUAUUAAUAAAAAAAAUAUUAAUUAUA
This 3185-nucleotide ribosomal RNA is filed under the name Saccharomyces cerevisiae (brewer's yeast). Its description in RNAcentral is "large subunit ribosomal RNA". It matches the Rfam family "Bacterial large subunit ribosomal RNA". The record is from RNAcentral. Lineage: Eukaryota; Fungi; Ascomycota; Saccharomycetes; Saccharomycetales; Saccharomycetaceae.